Molecule: ribosomal RNA, 369 nt
Filed under: uncultured Phenylobacterium sp.
Lineage: Bacteria; Pseudomonadati; Pseudomonadota; Alphaproteobacteria; Caulobacterales; Caulobacteraceae
Description: bacterial SSU rRNA
Rfam family: Bacterial small subunit ribosomal RNA
Source: RNAcentral
GAAGGGGGCUAGCGUUGCUCGGAAUUACUGGGCGUAAAGGGCGCGUAGGCGGACAGUUAAGUUGGGGGUGAAAGCCCGGGGCUCAACCUCGGAAUUGCCUUCAAUACUGGCUGUCUUGAGUACGGGAGAGGUGAGUGGAACUCCGAGUGUAGAGGUGAAAUUCGUAGAUAUUCGGAAGAACACCAGUGGCGAAGGCGACUCACUGGCCCGUUACUGACGCUGAGGCGCGAAAGCGUGGGGAGCAAACAGGAUUAGAUACCCUGGUAGUCCACGCCGUAAACGAUGAGUGCUAGUUGUCGGCAUGCAUGCAUGUCGGUGACGCAGCUAACGCAUUAAGCACUCCGCCUGGGGAGUACGGUCGCAAGAUUA